Molecule: transfer RNA, 73 nt
Filed under: Candidatus Pacearchaeota archaeon
Lineage: Archaea; Nanobdellati
Description: tRNA-Pro
Rfam family: tRNA
About the family: Transfer RNA (tRNA) molecules are approximately 80 nucleotides in length. Their secondary structure includes four short double-helical elements and three loops (D, anti-codon, and T loops). Further hydrogen bonds mediate the characteristic L-shaped molecular structure. tRNAs have two regions of fundamental functional importance: the anti-codon, which is responsible for specific mRNA codon recognition, and the 3' end, to which the tRNAs corresponding amino acid is attached (by aminoacyl-tRNA synthetases). tRNAs cope with the degeneracy of the genetic code in two manners: having more than one tRNA (with a specific anti-codon) for a particular amino acid; and 'wobble' base-pairing, i.e. permitting non-standard base-pairing at the 3rd anti-codon position.
Source: RNAcentral
GGGGAUGUGGUGCAACCUGGCAACAUUCAAGCUUUGGGAGCUUGCGAUCCAGAUUCAAAUUCUGGCAUCCCCA